Pyrus x bretschneideri (Chinese white pear) is the source of this 1855-nucleotide long non-coding RNA. RefSeq lists it as uncharacterized. The transcript is spliced from 3 exons. The record is from RefSeq and is a predicted model, not a curated record. NCBI's taxonomy places the organism in Eukaryota, Viridiplantae, Streptophyta, Magnoliopsida, Rosales, Rosaceae.
AAGUUGCAACUGGGUUGGUACGCCAUCUUCAAGUCGUGGCCUUGAAUCUCUCUUACAUCAGUCUCAUUGCAGUCACCAUUCCUCCUCACCUAGCUACGCUAUCAGCAAAAAAUGAAGGCUUAUUUUUAACUACGCCUCUUUAAACUUGAUUUUAAUCUCACUUUGCCCAUGUAGCUAAGCUAUCAGCAAAAAAUGAAUGGUGUGUUUUAUAUGUAAAAAAUCCAAAUCACAAGUCUUCGUUCGACUUGUCUAAGUUUCCUCACUUCGAAGUAGAAGCCGAGCAAUGCAAGUCUCAGACGUAGAAGCCGGGCAAGUCUAAGUCGUGCACAAGUCUUGUUGUUACCAGAGGUGGAUCUACGAAGAGACCAGGGUGGUCUCGGGACCACCCGGAAGCUUGGAUAAAUGGUUGUGAGAACCUCCUAGGACCACCCAAGUCUGGGAAGUGGUAGAGAAGAGCAGCAGCCAUGGUUGCUGCGCUGUGCAAAACUAGAGGAGGAAGAAGAAAGCUUUUUUUUUUUUUUAAAUGACUUGGCAAAACGACAUCGUUUUGAGCCAAGUCAUUAAAAAAAAAAUUUAAAACCCACGUGAUAACAAUUUGAAAUUUAAUAAAAGCCCAUGGCUUUUUAUUGGUCUGCUUUCAAUCAAAUUCAACUUUAUCAAAUAUAAUAUACCUAAUUGCAUGCCGCUCCUAUUCCUCAUGCCACCCAAGCCAACGAAGGCCAUCAACAGAAAUUUCAGAAUUUCUGUAAGUUUUCUAGUUUAGUGUCAGUUCAUACUUAUUUUUAGUGUUAGUUCAUACAUAUUUAUUGUUAAUUUGUUUGGAUUUUUAGUUUUAUUUUUAUUUUUUUAAGAACACUAAUUAAAAACAAAAGGAUGAACAGUGAAUACAUAUAUGUAAGGGUCUUUGAUAAUGGUUUUUGGUAAGGAUUUUUGAUAAAAAGUCAAACAAUCAACACUAACGGGUUUUAAACUAAGUUCAGCCUUAUUCUUUGUUAAUUUCUUAAGAUUUUUUCAUAUCUAUUUUAGUGUUAGUUCAUACAUAUUUAGUGUUGAUUCGUUAGGAUUUUCUAAUAUUACUUGGAUUGUGUUACAAUGUAUUUUUUUUUUUUUUUUUUGUCGAAGAUUAUGUUACAGUGUUAGUUCAUACAUAUUUUUUGUCGAAGUUGUAUUUUUCCAUUUAUUUUUAAUGUUAUUUUCAUAUUUUUAUUUUUGAGCUUUUAUAUUAGGACCACUCUGUGUUAAAAUUAUGGAUCCGCCACUGGUUGUUACUUCUACUAUUACAACACAUACCCACCGCCUUUGGGCUUUGCAUGACAACCACGCAAAUUUACAAGCAACUAGACCUUUCUAGCAUGCACACCGACUUAGGCUUUGCCUAAUGUCCUCACAAUUUUACAACUUCCAAUAUGCAUUUCCACUAACAAAAUUUCUAGAGUUUUCUAGCAUGGUGCCACCGACAUUGUGUAUUGUUAGAAUUCUCUAGCGUGUGCAUGAAUCUUUCUUUGUGCAUGGGCUGGAUCCAUUGUCUUGGGCCAAGAGAAGAUUAGCAUUCAACAUCCCCCCUUAAUCUUGUCUUGUGACACCGAUUGAGUUCCUCAAUCUGACAAAGUCUUCUUGCCUGAGUGGCUUGGUGAAUAUGUCGGCGGCUUGGUCUUGAGACUUCACGUAUUCAACUUGCACAUCCUUUCUUGCAAUGCACUCUCUUAUGUAAUGGUAGCAGAUGAAAGGAAUGGCGGUGGCAAUGGUGGGAGAUGGAAUCAAUGACUCUCGGCCUUUAGUUGCAGGAGAUGUUGGCAUGGCAAUUGGUGCUGUCACCGACGUAGCUAUAGAAGCAGCUGAUAUAGUUCUGAGGAAG